Molecule: transfer RNA, 82 nt
Filed under: bacterium
Lineage: Bacteria
Description: tRNA-Leu
Rfam family: tRNA
About the family: Transfer RNA (tRNA) molecules are approximately 80 nucleotides in length. Their secondary structure includes four short double-helical elements and three loops (D, anti-codon, and T loops). Further hydrogen bonds mediate the characteristic L-shaped molecular structure. tRNAs have two regions of fundamental functional importance: the anti-codon, which is responsible for specific mRNA codon recognition, and the 3' end, to which the tRNAs corresponding amino acid is attached (by aminoacyl-tRNA synthetases). tRNAs cope with the degeneracy of the genetic code in two manners: having more than one tRNA (with a specific anti-codon) for a particular amino acid; and 'wobble' base-pairing, i.e. permitting non-standard base-pairing at the 3rd anti-codon position.
Source: RNAcentral
GCCCGGGUGGUGAAACUGGUAGACACACAUCCCUUAAGAGGAUGCGCUCCAAAGCGUGCCGGUUCGAAUCCGGCCCCGGGCA